UGCCAGCCGCCGCGGUAAUACGGAGGAUCCAAGCGUUAUCCGGAAUCAUUGGGUUUAAAGGGUCCGCAGGCGGUUUGAUAAGUCAGAGGUGAAAUCCUACGGCUCAACCGUAGAACUGCCAUUGAUACUGUCAUUCUUGAGUACUGGAGAGGUUACUAGAAUUCGUGGUGUAGCGGUGAAAUGCGUAGAUAUCACGAGGAAUACCAGAGGCGUAGGCGGGUAACUGGACAGAUACUGACACUGAGGCACGAAAGCGUGGGGAGCAAACAGGAUUAGAUA
RNAcentral lists this ribosomal RNA (279 nucleotides) under uncultured bacterium. RNAcentral describes it as "partial 16S ribosomal RNA". It matches the Rfam family "Bacterial small subunit ribosomal RNA", at positions 506 to 784 of the family's 1533-position model. The record is from RNAcentral.